Molecule: ribosomal RNA, 423 nt
Filed under: uncultured Roseburia sp.
Lineage: Bacteria; Bacillati; Bacillota; Clostridia; Lachnospirales; Lachnospiraceae
Description: bacterial SSU rRNA
Rfam family: Bacterial small subunit ribosomal RNA
Source: RNAcentral
UGGGGAAUAUUGCACAAUGGGCGCAAGCCUGAUGCAGCGAUGCCGCGUGAGGGAAGAAGGUUUUCGGAUUGUAAACCUCUGUCAUCAGGGACGAAAAAGGACGGUACCUGAGAAGGAAGCUCCGGCUAACUACGUGCCAGCAGCCGCGGUAAUACGUAGGGAGCAAGCGUUAUCCGGAUUUACUGGGUGUAAAGGGAGCGCAGGCGGUGCGGCAAGUCUGAUGUGAAAGCCCGGGGCUCAACCCCGGUACUGCAUUGGAAACUGUCGUACUAGAGUGUCGGAGGGGUAAGUGGAAUUCCUAGUGUAGCGGUGAAAUGCGUAGAUAUUAGGAGGAACACCAGUGGCGAAGGCGGCUUACUGGACGAUAACUGACGCUGAGGCUCGAAAGCGUGGGGAGCAAACAGGAUUAGAUACCCUGGUAGU